RNAcentral lists this ribosomal RNA (460 nucleotides) under uncultured bacterium. Its description in RNAcentral is "partial 16S ribosomal RNA". It matches the Rfam family "Bacterial small subunit ribosomal RNA", at positions 338 to 795 of the family's 1533-position model. The record is from RNAcentral.
CCUACGUGAGGCAGCAGUGAGGAAUAUUGGUCAAUGGCCGGAAGGCUGAACCAGCCAUGCCGCGUGAAGGUCAGUGCCCUAUGGGCGGUCAACUUCUUUUGUGCGGGAGCAAUAAUGGUCACGUGUGGCCAGACGAGAGUACCGUACGCAUAAGCAUCGGCUAACUCCGUGCCAGCAGCCGCGGUAAUAUGGGGGAGGCAAGCGUUAUCAGGAUUUAUUGGGUUUAAAGGGUGCGUACGCUGUGAGGUAAGUCAGCGGUGAAAUGCCCCCGCUCAACGGGGUGAAGUGCCAUUGAUACUGCCUUGCGGGAAUGCGGGUGCCGGGGGAGGAAUGUGUGGUGUAGCGGUGAAAUGCAUAGAUAUCACACAGAACACCGAUUGCGAAGGCAUCUCACGAAUCCGCGAUUGACGCUGAUGCACGAAAGCGUGGGUAUCAAACAGGAUUAGAUACCCUUGUAGUC